AAUAAGUGCAGCCGUGGAUAUCCGUGUCCAACGUUUGACCGUAUGUCUUAUUUGAAAAUUUUGAAAAUAUUUAGUCACACAUAAAAUGUUAUUCAUAUUUUAUCAUCUAAUAGCAAUAAAAAUACUAAUUAUAAAAAGUUUUCAAAUAAGACGAACGAUCAAACGUUGAACGUGAAUAGUGCAAAACUGCACUUAUU
RNAcentral lists this microRNA precursor (197 nucleotides) under Oryza sativa Indica Group (long-grained rice). RNAcentral describes it as "MIR812 microRNA precursor family". It matches the Rfam family "MIR812 microRNA precursor family". Lineage: Eukaryota; Viridiplantae; Streptophyta; Magnoliopsida; Poales; Poaceae. The record is from Rfam by way of RNAcentral.